UACGGGGGGGGCAAGCGUUGUUCGGAAUUACUGGGCGUAAAGGGUUUGUAGGUGGCCAACUAAGUCAGACGUGAAAUCCCUCAGCUUAACUGGGGAACUGCGUCUGAUACUGGUUGGCUUGAGUGCAGGAGAGGAACGCGGAAUUCCAGGUGUAGCGGUGAAAUGCGUAGAUAUCUGGAGGAACACCGGUGGCGAAGGCGGCUCACUGGCCCGGUACUGACGCUGAGAUACGAAAGCGUGGGGAGCAAACAGG
Molecule: ribosomal RNA, 253 nt
Filed under: uncultured bacterium
Lineage: Bacteria
Description: partial 16S ribosomal RNA
Rfam family: Bacterial small subunit ribosomal RNA
Source: RNAcentral